UAAGGAAUAUUGCUCAAUGGGAGAAAUCCUGAAGCAGCAACGCCGCGUGGAGGAUGAAGGGUCUAUGACUUGUAAACUCCUGUAAAGAAGGAAAAAAUUCCCAUUUGAUGGGAGAUGAUGGUACUUCUGGAGUAAGCCCCGGCUAACUACGUGCCAGCAGCCGCGGUAAUACGUAGGGGGCAAGCGUUGUCCGGAUUUACUGGGUGUAAAGGGUGCUCAGGCGGAUUUGUAAGUCAGAGGUGAAAUCUUACAGCUUAACUGUGAAACUGCCUUUGAUACUGCAAGCCUAGAGUAUGGAAGAGAGUGAUGGAAGAUCUGGUGUAGCAGUGAAAUGCGUAGAUAUCAGAUAGAACACCAAUGGCGAAGGCAGUCACUUGGUCCAUUACUGACGCUAAAGCACGAAAGCGUGGGUAGCAAACA
RNAcentral lists this ribosomal RNA (420 nucleotides) under uncultured bacterium. RNAcentral's name for it is "bacterial SSU rRNA". It matches the Rfam family "Bacterial small subunit ribosomal RNA", at positions 355 to 774 of the family's 1533-position model. The record is from RNAcentral.